CGUUGAAGCAGACGAAUGAGGUGCCUGGGAUAAUUACCAGUCACCUGGGAGACUUUCUAGAUAAUACUCCUCCUUCGACCUGAUCUUUUCUGUCAGGAAGUCUUUUGUUCGCAACCAAAUUGGCUCCAUCCGUUUGAACUCCGAUUCCGAAAGUAAUUACAGUGCACCUCCGAGAAUAUAAUGAAAUGGAACAAAUGAUACGCUUUGUGUUACUACAAGGGGGUUCCGAUGGUGGGGAGCGCGUCGGGGGACUUGUGCGUCCUGAUCUGCGAUGCUCCUUGAUGAACAAGCAAAUUCAGAAAGAACCAAGCGAGGACGGCGUGUUAACGAGAGUGUGUUUUAUAUGUGAAGAACGCCCAAAACAAACAAGCCUAAAACAUUGCAUUACCCUUAAACCGAGCCCCGUCCGCAUUGCUGUUCCGUGCUGCCACAAACACAGCCCGGCAAUGAUUUCUCAAAGGACACGUGCUCCCCCUUGUGGACAGUGCCGGGAAGUACAGGACAUCGCCUCCUCGGGCUAUUUCUGUGCUGUUAUAGAUAAGUUAACCUUGUGAUGAAAUGCUAAUGUAUAAUGAAUGUGGUGUUAAUUAGACAUUGCCAUUCACAGUUAAACUACGAGUAGAACCAGCAGCAAUUAACCAAGCUUGAGAGAUAAUUUAAGAAAGCGGAAAGAACCCUUAUCUGAGCGCUGAGGGUGUCCCGGUGGCAGCAUUAGUAUUCAAUCCACGCUUGUAUUUUGUAAUUGUAUUUACGUAUGCGACGUGGUUUGCUUAUUCAGAUAUGUGUCAUGUGUUGAACGCGGGCCGGCUUUCUGUUCAGGAACAGGACAUAACUGCAGAGGUCGUUUGCUGGUAAUUACGUCACAGUUACGGGUGGUUUCACUGACCCAGAUUGGCUCUAAUCUUGGUUUACCUUACCUAAAUUAACAUUGGAUAGUCCAGGACUGGUACUAAUGAUGGUCUGUGAAACCAGCCAUUUCAGUUUUAUUUUCCCUUCACGUGAAAUGAUGCUAAUGGUCUUAUAGGAUGAUGACGUCAGACCCAAUGCCUUAGUCAAUGUCUCCCGUGUUUU
This is a long non-coding RNA of Acipenser ruthenus (sterlet), 1071 nucleotides long. RefSeq lists it as uncharacterized. The record is from RefSeq and is a predicted model, not a curated record. The transcript is spliced from 2 exons. NCBI's taxonomy places the organism in Eukaryota, Metazoa, Chordata, Actinopteri, Acipenseriformes, Acipenseridae.